GUUUAAUCAGCUGUUCAACCAAAGUGAUCUUAAGGGCAUGUUUAAUUCCUGCACAGUAAUUCAAAUUGACCCUGUAUUCCUCAACGUGUACAGUAUCUGCACAUUCAUAUCAAAUGAGAGCAAUAUCAAUGAAUUAAAUGCCACAACAGUCUAUUACAACAUUGUUAACAACCUACAAAAUGGCCUCCUUGGAGAAUAUCAACUGGACAUGGAAAGCAUUACAAUAACAGAAAGGGGCGCUUUUGGCGCUAAUUCACAGCAGAGUGGUGGAGCCUCCUUGCCCUUCUGGAUCAUCUUUGCCAUCACCCUGUCGUGUUUGCUGCUUGCUGUGCUGCUUCAUUGCUGUUGCUGCUUUUGGCUGAUUGCCUGCUGUAGACGGAGAUAUUACCGAAAAAGAAAGCACUGGCAAAAAGUAUAUAUUUAUCAUGUCGUCUAAUACCUUUGGAAACCAGGACUUCAGAAACAUAUUAAAAGUGUUUAUUUAAUUUAACGGCGUGCCUCGCGGUAUGUGGACCACAGAGCAAGGCUCAAAAUAUAUGUCCGUUCCUAAAUUGAAGAUUUAAAUACCUUUGGUUAUACCCUACUUCAAUAAUUCCAUAUAAUAUCUUUGUGUUGAUCAAGUCAGUAGCAAAGAAUCGUUUUAUAGAUAACACACCCCGCUAGCCUCUUUGUGCCUUCUUUAGCUCUUAUUUUUAUGGUUGUGUACUCUUAGAGCACAGUUUUUUUGUUGUUGUGAUGCAUUGAAUAAUAAAAAUAUAUAUAUAAUGUAUACCAUUCAAUUAAAGAACUGGUGUAUCAUCUUUGGUCACUUAUUAUUGAAAAUGUGAGUACAAGCAUUGUUAUAGAUUAUGUAUUUCUUACAUGUUUGUGGAUUUGUGACCGAGGACACACAGAUGAGCAUAUAUGCAUAAGCAAAUCGUUAAUAUAUGCACGACUUUCAAUGAAUGCGAGUACGUGUACAGCUCUUUGUCGUGGGGGUUAUUUAACCAUACUUUACCAUGCUGAUGAGUACGGUUUAAUGAAGGUGGGGGAAACAGAUGCAGGAGCAUAUAAGCACAGUUCAACAAUUACAAUGCGCAAAAGAUGAUUGAAUGCUUAUCUAAUAAAAUAUCAUUCCUUGAGCAAACUUUUUAAAUUGCAAUUAUUGGGGUAGUGCAUAAAAAAUCAGCACGAUAUUGUCUUUAUAUAAUUGAACAACAAGCUUGUUAAUGACCCAGCUCUCUUUGCCUCUCUUACAUCUCUAUUCCAUUGCCACUCCGCUCCCUCUCUUUGCCUUUGCUGGUAUUUCUCUACUCAGUGUUUUACAAAAGUCUCUAACAUUGUUCCUCCUCUCUUCGA
Long non-coding RNA from Lethenteron reissneri (Far Eastern brook lamprey), 1338 nucleotides. RefSeq lists it as uncharacterized. The record is from RefSeq and is a predicted model, not a curated record. NCBI's taxonomy places the organism in Eukaryota, Metazoa, Chordata, Hyperoartia, Petromyzontiformes, Petromyzontidae.